Molecule: ribosomal RNA, 788 nt
Filed under: uncultured bacterium
Lineage: Bacteria
Description: bacterial SSU rRNA
Rfam family: Bacterial small subunit ribosomal RNA
Source: RNAcentral
AGAGUUUGAUCAUGGCUCAGGGUGAACGCUGGCGGCGUGCCUAACACAUGCAAGUCGAGCGGGCCGGGGCUUCGGCCCCGGCUAGCGGCGAACGGCUGAGUAACACGUGGGUAACCUGCCCCCAAGUGGGGGAUAACCCUGGGAAACCGGGGCUAAUACCGCAUGUGGUUGCCGGGCGGAUGCUCGGCAACUAAAGGGCCCGCAAGGGCUCGCUUGGGGAGGGGCCCGCGGCCUAUCAGGUAGUUGGUGGGGUAAUGGCCCACCAAGCCGAUGACGGGUAGCUGGCCUGAGAGGGUGGUCAGCCAGACCGGGACUGAGACACGGCCCGGACUCCUACGGGAGGCAGCAGUGGGGGAUCUUGGGCAAUGGGCGAAAGCCUGACCCAGCGACGCCGCGUGGAGGAAGAAGCCCUUCGGGGUGUAAACUCCUUUUGCCGGGGAAGAAACCUGACGGUACCCGGCGAAUAAGGGCCUGCUAACUACGUGCCAGCAGCCGCGGUAAUACGUAGGGCCCGAGCGUUACCCGGAUUUACUGGGCGUAAAGGGUCCGCAGGCGGCCCGGCAAGUCGGGCGUGAAAUUCCUCGGCUUAACCGAGGAGCUGCGUCCGAUACUACCGGGCUCGAGGACGGGAGAGGGAGGUGGAAUUCCCGGAGUAGCGGUGAAAUGCGUAGAUACCGGGAGGAACACCGGUGGCGAAGGCGGCCUCCUGGCCCGUUCCUGACGCUCAGGGACGAAAGCGUGGGGAGCGAACCGGAUUAGAUACCCUGGUAGUCAAGGGCGAAUUCGUU